Molecule: ribosomal RNA, 524 nt
Filed under: uncultured bacterium
Lineage: Bacteria
Description: partial 16S ribosomal RNA
Rfam family: Bacterial small subunit ribosomal RNA
Source: RNAcentral
GACGAACGCUGGCGGCGUGCCUAAUACAUGCAAGUCGAGCGCAGGAAACUGACGGAACUCUUCGGAGGGAAGGCAGCGGAAUGAGCGGCGGACGGGUGAGUAACACGUAAGGAACCUGCCUCAAGGGUUGGGAUAACUCCGAGAAAUCGGAGCUAAUACCGGAUAGUUCAUCGGACCGCAUGGUCCGUUGAUGAAAGGCGCUCCGGCGUCACCUUGAGAUGGCCUUGCGGUGCAUUAGCUAGUUGGUGGGGUAACGGCCCACCAAGGCGACGAUGCAUAGCCGACCUGAGAGGGUGAUCGGCCACACUGGGACUGAGACACGGCCCAGACUCCUACGGGAGGCAGCAGUAGGGAAUCUUCCACAAUGGACGUAAGUCUGAUGGAGCAACGCCGCGUGAGUGAUGAAGGUUUUCGGAUCGUAAAACUCUGUUGUAAGGGAAGAACACGUACGAGAGGAAAUGCUCGUACCUUGACGGUACCUUACGAGAAAGCCACGGCUAACUACGUGCCAGCCGCCGCAGUAA